GUCUAUGGCCAUACCACCCUGAAUCCACCUAGUCUUGGAAGUUAAGCAGGGCUGGGCCUGGUUAGUACUUGUAUGGGAGACCACCUGGGAGUACUAGAUGCUGUAGGCU
This 109-nucleotide ribosomal RNA is filed under the name Prolemur simus (greater bamboo lemur). Lineage: Eukaryota; Metazoa; Chordata; Mammalia; Primates; Lemuridae. The record is from RNAcentral.